UGCGAGAGGCGUACGGAACUCAUGGUGUAGGGGUGAAAUCCGUUGAUAUCAUGGGGAACACCGAAAGCGAAGGCAGUACGCUAGUGCAUAUUUGACACUGAAACACGAAAGCGUGGGUAGCGAAUGGGAUUAGAUACCCCAGUAGUCCACGCCCUAAACGAUGAUCUCUCGCUAUUCGGAGUAUCGACCCUCUGAGUGGCUUAGCUAACGCGUUAAGAGAUCCGCCUGGGAAGUACGGCCGCAAGGCUAAAACUCAAAGGAAUAGACGGGGACUUGCACAAGCAGUGGAUUAUGUGGUUUAAUUCGAUGGUAAACGAAGAACCUUACCAAGGUUAGAAAUCCUAGUGAAAGCUCGCAGAAACGCGAGGCCUCGCAAGACUCUAGGACAGGUGAUGCAUGGCCGUCGUCAGUUCGUGGUUUGAAUUGUUCCCUUAAGUGGGGUAACGAACGCAACCCUUGUUGUGUGUUAUAAGUGUCACACGAUACUGCCCCGAACUUUGAGCACAAGCUAAAGUUCUAGUUAAAAGUUUUUAAAGUUCAUGAAGUAUAAAGUAAAUGCAUUUUGUAUUCAACUUUAUAAAUUUCUACUUUUUACUUUAUAACUUGAACUUUGUUUGCGAACAAAGUUCGGGGAGGAAGGAGAGGAUGACGCCAGGUCAGCAUGUCCCUUGAUACCUUGGGCUACACACAUAAUACAAUGACCGUUACAACGCGCAGCGACGAGGCGACUCUGAGCUAAUCGUUCAAAAGCGGCCUCAGUUCGGAUUGAAGUCUGCAACUCGACUUCAUGAAGCUGGAAUUGCUAGUAAUCACAGGUCAGCUAAACUGUGGUGAAUACGUUCUCAAGUCUUGUACUCACCGCCCGUCAAGUCAAGGGAGCCGGGAGUACCCGAAAUCUCUACAUAAGUGGGGCUUAAGGUAAGCUCGGUGACAGGGACUAAGUCGUAACAAGGCACGGCUAGCGGAAGCUGGUCGUGGA
Molecule: ribosomal RNA, 979 nt
Filed under: Candidatus Nomurabacteria bacterium GW2011_GWC2_35_35
Lineage: Bacteria; Candidatus Nomuraibacteriota
Description: bacterial SSU rRNA
Rfam family: Bacterial small subunit ribosomal RNA
Source: RNAcentral